This 339-nucleotide unclassified non-coding RNA is filed under the name soil metagenome. RNAcentral's name for it is "partial contains 5.8S ribosomal RNA, internal transcribed spacer 2, and large subunit ribosomal RNA". The stretch from base 1 to 120 matches the Rfam family "5.8S ribosomal RNA", at positions 35 to 154 of the family's 154-position model. The record is from RNAcentral.
GAUGAAGAACGCAGCGAAAUGCGAUAAGUAGUGUGAAUUGCAGAAUUCAGUGAAUCAUCGAAUCUUUGAACGCACAUUGCGCCCCCUGGUAUUCCGGGGGGCAUGCCUGUCCGAGCGUCAUUGCUGCCCUCAAGCACGGCUUGUGUGUUGGGCUCCGUCCCCCCGGGGACGGGCCCGAAAGGCAGCGGCGGCACCGAGUCCGGUCCUCGAGCGUAUGGGGCUUUGUCACCCGCUCUGUAGGCCCGGCCGGCGCCAGCCGACAACCCAUCAUCCUUUUCAGGUUGACCUCGGAUCAGGUAGGGAUACCCGCUGAACUUAAGCAUAUCAAUAAGCGGAGGA